AUGAGCACGCUCAACACCGCACGGAACCAAACGAGGUGGUGCAAGUUGGGUGACCCCAAGCAAUACUCCACCUCUCCAUCCCUCCUCCUAGAUAUGAAACCACACCGCAACGGGUUCCGCAACCAACUUCCCUGUCAAUACUCCGUUCUCGUUAUUUCUUAUCCCCACACACGCGCGCACGGCGACGAAGCAGUCAGAACGCAUCAGCAGCGGCAGAAGAAGAUUGGAUUGGAUAGCGCAGGCGAGGGCGAGCCCUCACCGUCGUCACCGCCGAUGAGGAACCCGCCCGGCCGGCACCUCCUGCGCGUCGCCACCCGCGCCGUGCGCUCCUCGUCCGGGUUCGGCGGCGCCUCCACGUCCGCCACGUCCCCCGGCGCCGCCUCGUCCGGGGGCCGCCCGCGCAGCCGAGGCGGCGGCGGCGGCGGCAUGCUCCUGCGGGCCACGUCCCCGCCCCCGCCCUCCGCCGUCGCGGCCGCCGCGUGCUGGGAGUCCCGCACGCUGCGCCGCGACGGGGAGGACGACUGGGAGGAGGUCGUCGUCGCCGCGGCCGACGGGGCGGCUCCGGGCGCCGGCGACGCGGAGGUGGACAGCGACUACAGGGUCGUGUUCUGGUCCCCGCCCACCGGGGACGAAGUCCGCGCCGCCUUCUCUAGCAUCCAGGAGGUGUUUGAGGGUUCUUAUUAUGAUGUGAAUUCAGAUGAAACUGAGAAACAACUAGCACUGCUGUCCAACUCAGAGCAUUCCUCAUCAACCAAUUCAUCAGGAUCAGACGAUUGGGUCGAACCUGCUGCAUAUGUUCUCAACUCUACUGCUCUUCUGACCAGGGAGCAUAGGAAUGUUUUGGAUGCCUUCCGUCUAUUGCAAAGAGACCCUAAUGUUCAGAAAAUGGUUAUGUCCUUGUCAUGUGAUAGGACUGUAUGGGAUGCUGUAAUGAAUAACGAGGCAGUGCAAGAAUUCAGGAGAUCUUUCCAGGAUGGCAAAGAAGUUAAUAGAAAGGGAAACUCUUGCGGCCCUGCUGUAGUGCUUAAGUGGAUCCUGGCCAACACCCAGGCAAAAAUAACGGAAUUCUUCGAUAAUAUAGCGAAGAUUGUCAGCAUGCUCUUCCACCCUCAAAGCGACGAAGACAAGCCCGAUCUGUACAGCGAUGCAGUGAAGGUGUCCUUCAUGCUCUCGGUGUUCGUCUUCAUCGUGGUGGCCGUUGCUCGUACCAAUUAUGAGCCGUGGGAUUUCGAAGUGUGGUGA
Molecule: ribosomal RNA, 1242 nt
Filed under: Triticum aestivum (bread wheat)
Lineage: Eukaryota; Viridiplantae; Streptophyta; Magnoliopsida; Poales; Poaceae
Description: partial small subunit ribosomal RNA
Source: RNAcentral